UCAUUACAGACUCGGAGUCAAGACACAGAAGCAGUCAAGUUGAAGAUUGCAGGAAACAACAUGAACAAAUGGUUCUGUAGAGAUAGAUAAUUGGAGCUCGGAGUGAAGACUGGAAUGUCUAGGCACUCAAGCAAAGUGGAAAAUGGCCUUGAUCGGAUAUUAGGGUCCCGCUUGGUGGCAUCUAUGGAUCUGUGUUGGUAUGGGAUGGUACAGAGUAAUGGAGACUACUUGUGAGUACUUGGCAUCGGUGUAAUGUGAUAGAGUCUAAAGUCUUGAUGUUGAAUGGAAAAGGUCGGAAUUAUCACAAGGCUGUAAGGUGGGUACGUUGCAACACCAGGUGUUUGGAGGUGAGUUGCCAGAGG
Molecule: long non-coding RNA, 362 nt
Filed under: Elaeis guineensis (African oil palm)
Lineage: Eukaryota; Viridiplantae; Streptophyta; Magnoliopsida; Arecales; Arecaceae
Description: long non-coding RNA (EGUI_LNC054395)
Source: RNAcentral